GAAGUCUGAAUAUGAAUGAUAAGUAUUAUCAUUUUGCUGACGAAAACUGUUUUACUCAGGAGGAAGGAAAUUAAUUUUCCUUGUUUAUAAUGAAAUAAGGUGGCGUUUUAUAAGCACGGCUGAUUCGUGCGCAUAUGAAUGUAAAGGGAUUCAGCUUUGGGGAACCGAUACCUUCACAUCGAUUCAAUUCAUUCUUAAAUUUUACAAGAAAAUGUUUUUGGUGAAAGUUUGCUUUCAUUAUACAAUUUCAUUACAUGAAUAAUAAUUUGUUUUCACAUGUCUACAAAGAACAUAGCAAUGCAAUAUACACUUGUACAACUUGAUUUAGUCCGUAUACAUAAAUCAUGUAAUGAGAUGUUUUCGAUACAUCAUUGUAAAGGAGCUUAUGGGUGAUGAGGCCCGACAUCUAGUGGUACAAAUCAAAUCCUGUAAAUCUGGAUGACAAACGGGCAGAGGUUUCUGAGUUUUCCCCAAAAGGAGGGCGUUAUCUCAGUUUUGCCUUGGCCAGUCGACCACGUCAGUAAGCUCCAUUUUUUGCAAGCAUGUUGUUACCUAGACAUACUUCGCUCAUGUUGCAAGUUCAUGCUGUAUGUGUUAAUCGGUUUCCAAAGUGCUUCUCUGAGACUUCAAAAAUAAUCUACAGAAUAUGUGUUUUGUCCGCACUAAGUGUAAUAAGUCACACUGAUAUCGAAAAUGUGUAUGUUGUGUACAGCAUUUGUAGCUUUAAAUAUUGUAGUCAUUAUUUGUUUGACCUUGUUUUCUGUUGCGAAAUAUGGGUUCUAAUCUCUCACCCGUAUAGCAUAGCGUGCUAUAUACUCAACCUGUGGCGAACUCUUUAUUCAACUUACGCUGUGUUCGUUUAAAGAGGCAGAGACAAAGGUAAUGCGUACUGCAGUUUACCGAUACGAAAUACUAAAGCAGAUUUUAGUUGAAAUAUGAAAAUUAAAAUCUAAUCUUGAAAACGAGUAUGCAGUAUGUUCUUUUCACCCAUUUUGUGUUUACUAUAGUUAAAAUUAGAAAUAUGGUCUAAGACAUUAAUAAAGUUAAUUGCAUGAAACGUGAUUAUGAAUGAAUUCAAUUACCCCAAUUGAAGCAUUUGUAGAACUGAACGUUAAUGUUACAUGUUUGAGUGAGUUGCUGUAGAAUAUUUCCAGAUUGAUAUCCAUCAUUAUUCCCUGCCCUAGCUCCGAAUACGAACAAUCAUAUCAUGAGAUGUUAAGUCGAUAACAUCGUACGUGUAAGUCUAAUGUAUCAAUGGUUCAGGCUAUACACUUUUGUGUUUCCGGUGUGGUCUAGUGGUUAGGAUUUCUGGUUUUCACCCAGACGGCCCUGGUUCGAUUCCCGGCACCGGAACUUAGUUUAUGGUAUUAAAGCAUUUUAGCUCUUACAUCAAUACCGUCAUUGUUAACUUUCGUAUAAUCUACUGAAUGUGUGUUUUGUCCGCAGCUAGCUCAGUAAGACACACUGAUAUUGAAAACGUUAAUGUUGUGUACAGGCAUUGUGGCCUGAGAACGUUUUUCUUGUUCCUAAAUAAUGGAUUCUAUGCUCUUUAAGAAUUGUCGUGUUGCAUAUCAGAAGACACAGAGCUAAGGUAUAUGAUGAUGAUGGUUGUUCCUUUUAUGUUUUUAUAUGGUAAAUGUGGUUAUAUUUAUAUUGACAAAAAAUCAGAUCUUAGAUUUUCAUAUUUCCGUUGGAAAAUUAAUGAUAUAUGACUUAAACCGUUACGUGUGGUUUGAGAAAAAUGCAUAAAACACCAAUUUUUGAACUUUAAUAUGAAAACCUGCGAUCGUAGUUUUUGUCAGCAGUCUUGUAUCACUGGUUUCCAUGGAUUUUCGCAAAAAAUUGGCUCGUUCCAAGACAAAAAAAUAAAACACUUGUCAAAACAUUUAAUCUGUGAGAGUGCAUCUUUAACACAAAUAUGAUAAACUACGUUGUCUUUAAUCGUGUGUGAGCAAACAGGCGCAGAAACAAUGUAUUAGUAAAGUAUGUAAAGUAUUCACAGCUGUAUAUUCGUUGAGACAGUUAUAACAGUAACACUGAAGCCAUUAUUCGGUUAACCUAUAUGUUUCCUAUACGUAUAUCGGUAUCGAUGUUCUAGUUUUGUCACGUCCUAAUCUCUCACCUGUACUAUAAAGCGUGCUAUAUACUCAACCUUGUGGCGAACUAUUUAUUCAACUCGCGUUUUGUAGGUUUAAAGAUGCAGAGUCAACUGGGGUUUUUUCUGUACAAAAGUUAUAAAAGUCUGAAAGCUAUAAAUUGUAAUGGUCUGUUUAUGUUGUACAAAUUGUUGGCAUUAAAUUAAGUAAAAUGAAAUCUGUAUACCAUAUUAUAUUCUUUUUAUAAUAAUUCAACACUUCAAUGGAUCUUUUAACAUCUAACAUAUGCAUUUAAUAAGACAGUUUAUAUAUUGUCUAACAUUGUACUAAUGUACAUUUACACAUUAUCAAAUUCAAUUUUUAAAUUGAUUACUUAGGUACCUAUGACAAUUUUUUUAAAGAACGAUCGAUUAUAUAAUUUACCUUUUCCGUGUACCGUAACACAUAAAUAGUGAUAGUGUCACUUUAAUACCUGUGGGACGUUCGCUUGUAUAGCUGAUAAAAUAGGUCAAGUUAUUUUCACCCGGUGACGAUUUGGGUAUAAAUUGAGGGUUUUCUGAUCAGAAUGAACAUUCACAACCUUAAGCUAAUACACAAACAGGCACACACACAGAGGAAAUUAUUUUGACAUUGCGAUAUACUUAGGUAAAGACCACGUAUAAAAUGGCGGACAAGAAGGAUAUUAGCGCGUUACUACCCGUAGCCAUGGCAACGCUUUUCCAAAGUGGUUGUUUCUUGUGUGUCGGUAUAUUACGUCCAGCGUUAACGUUUCUCCCAAAGGAUCCAGUGACGUUGAUAGGAACCGUGUACGGAUUGGCGGCGGUGGACAUGUUUGUGUAUUAUUACUAUAAGAAAGGACAGAACAAUAAACAAGCGUGAUAAACCUGUUCACGAAAUACUUUUAAACUGAUCACAUACUACCGCAAUGUAAUAGGAUUUCAUCGAAUGUACUCCGAGUUCAUAGUUAUCAUGAUAUCAAACGUUAUUUAUAUGAAAGCGUGUACUGAUUUGUAGUAAACUAUCGCAGGUUCACUGUAUAAUUAUCAAAAUAGUAUGCAAUAAAUAAAAAGCGACAAAUGUCGUUUUUCAGAUUAUUGAAUUAUGUGCUAAUCUUAACGACACUCAUGUGACUAUUUAUUGUAAUGUUACAUUGUUCUAUGAUCCUUCUUGUAAACGAUAUAGUAUCCACAUAACUCGAAGUACAUUUAUUAAAUAGGUACGAUUCAACGAUAUAAUUAUGUACAUUUUGAAUAAAUGACUUAGAAAAUA
Molecule: long non-coding RNA, 3365 nt
Organism: Mya arenaria
Lineage: Eukaryota; Metazoa; Mollusca; Bivalvia; Myida; Myidae
Exons: 2
Source: RefSeq, a predicted model, not a curated record